UACGGAGGGUGCAAGCGUUAUCCGGAUUCACUGGGUUUAAAGGGAGCGUAGGUGGGUUGGUAAGUCAGUGGUGAAAUCCCCGAGCUUAACUUGGGAACUGCCAUUGAUACUAUCAGUCUUGAAUACUGUGGAGGUUAGCGGAAUAUGUCAUGUAGCGGUGAAAUGCUUAGAUAUGACAUAGAAUACCAAUUGCGAAGGCAGCUGGCUACGCGAAUAUUGACACUCAGGCACGAAAGCGUGGGGAUCAAACAGG
This 253-nucleotide ribosomal RNA is filed under the name uncultured bacterium. RNAcentral describes it as "partial 16S ribosomal RNA". It matches the Rfam family "Bacterial small subunit ribosomal RNA", at positions 524 to 776 of the family's 1533-position model. The record is from RNAcentral.